AACAAAACUAAGCAGAUCCGAAUAUAAAUGUGACAGUAUAAUGUUCCUUUUAUUGAUUUAACAUUACAAUUAUUCCAGCGUGGUAUACAAGAAGUCAUUUGUUAUCUGUGAGAUAAUGUAAACAGCAACAUUUAAUUUGUGAUGUUGGAGACUUUUAGUGGGUUGCAAUACAUCUGUUUCUUGCUGUUGUCUCUGGAGAUGGUGAAGCGUCCCUGAACAGACUGAGAGUAGUAUGUACCACCACUAUUAGAGAUGUAUGCCAGCCACUCCAGACCUCCUCCUGCAGCCUGUCUGAUCCAGGCCAAGUGCGGGUCACUACUAAAUCCAGAGAAUGUACAGGUGCUUGACGGAUCCAAUACAUGUUAGUGCCACUAACUGAAAACCCACUGCAGGCACAGGGAAUUUACUUACAAGACACAGCAGUCAGCAACAGCAAGAGAAAUGAAGUGAACAUGGUUUAUAUGAAGGCUGAACUGGUGAUGAGUCCUCCACUCAACAGUGUUUAAAUAUGAAACAGACAUCAAUUAAUUUGCAUAAAAACGUUACAUUAGCAAAACCAGUGGAGUCCCUGGUGCUUGAGUCCAUUGAGUUUCAUUUCAUGGACAAUAGUUCCACCUAUUGAUAUGGAAUAACAUUGUACUUUGGUAAAUAAAUGUGAUUUUUUUCUCACUGCAGGCAUGUGUGUGCAACCAGUUUCUUCAAACGGAUGUGAUAUUGUGUUUUGUUCAUGAGAAAGUGGGUAAGGGUCUUUGAUAAAGUUGUAGAGCUUUAACAGGUUGUAGUAGAACAGCAAACACAGAUCAGCACUUUUCCAAUUUCAGGUUGUUGUUGUCACAAAGCCAUGCUGAGGGUAAAUAAAUAUAUGUAUGUAAAAAAAUGACUUUGCUUUGAAUCUAUGAUCUUUAUGAUGUACC
This is a long non-coding RNA of Labeo rohita (rohu), 914 nucleotides long. RefSeq lists it as uncharacterized. The record is from RefSeq and is a predicted model, not a curated record. The transcript has 4 exons. Lineage: Eukaryota; Metazoa; Chordata; Actinopteri; Cypriniformes; Cyprinidae.